This 127-nucleotide small RNA is filed under the name Marmota monax (woodchuck). Lineage: Eukaryota; Metazoa; Chordata; Mammalia; Rodentia; Sciuridae. The record is from RNAcentral.
GCCGGGUGUGGUGGCACCCACCCGUAUUCCCAGCUGCUCGGGAGGCUGAGGCAGGGGGAUGGCAAGUUCAAAGCCAGCCUCAGCAACUUAUCGAGGCGCUAAGCACCUCAGUGAGACCCAGUCUCUA